CGACCUCAGAUCAGACGAGACGACCCGCUGAAUUUAAGCAUAUUACUAAGCGGAGGAAAAGAAACUAACCAGGAUUCCCUCAGUAGCGGCGAGCGAAGAGGGAAGAGCCCAGCGCCGAAUCCCCCGUCCCCUCGCGGGCGCGGGGAAAUGUGGCGUACGGAAGUCCGCAUCGCCCGGCGCGGGCCGGGGGCCUGAGUCCUUCUGAUGGAGGCUCAGCCCGUGGACGGUGUGAGGCCGGUAACGGCCCCCGCCCCGCCGGGACGCGGGCUUCCCGGAGUCGGGUUGCUUGGGAAUGCAGCCCAAAGCAGGUGGUAAACUCCAUCUAAGGCUAAAUA
RNAcentral lists this ribosomal RNA (335 nucleotides) under Ictalurus punctatus (channel catfish). Its description in RNAcentral is "eukaryotic LSU rRNA". It matches the Rfam family "Eukaryotic large subunit ribosomal RNA", at positions 1 to 322 of the family's 3401-position model. The record is from RNAcentral. Lineage: Eukaryota; Metazoa; Chordata; Actinopteri; Siluriformes; Ictaluridae.